AUUGAACGCUGGCGGCAUGCUUUACACAUGCGAGUCGAACGGCAGCGCGGGCUUCGGCCUGGCGGCGAGUGGCGAACGGGUGAGUAAUACAUCGGAACGUGCCCAGUAGUGGGGGAUAGCUCGGCGAAAGCCGGAUUAAUACCGCAUACGACCUGAGGGUGAAAGCGGGGGAUCUUCGGACCUCGCGCUAUUGGAGCGGCCGAUGGCAGAUUAGCUAGUUGGAGGGGUAAAGGCCUACCAAGGCGACGAUCUGUAGCUGGUCUGAGAGGACGACCAGCCACACUGGGACUGAGACACGGCCCAGACUCCUACGGGAGGCAGCAGUGGGGAAUUUUGGACAAUGGGCGAAAGCCUGAUCCAGCAAUGCCGCGUGUGUGAUGAAGGCCUUCGGGUUGUAAAGCACUUUUGGCGGGAACGAAAAGGACUGUGCCAAUACCACGGUUCGAUGACGGUACCCGCAGAAUAAGCACCGGCUAACUACGUG
Molecule: ribosomal RNA, 484 nt
Filed under: uncultured bacterium
Lineage: Bacteria
Description: partial 16S ribosomal RNA
Rfam family: Bacterial small subunit ribosomal RNA
Source: RNAcentral